AUGUCCAUGAGACUGCAGCUGGGGCUCUCUGGAAUCUUGCUUUCAACCCUGGUAAUGCUUUCCGUAUAGUGGAGGAAGGGGGAGUUCCUGCCCUUGUUCAUCUUUGUUCGUCAUCUAUCUCAAAAAUGGCACGCUUUAUGGCUGCAUUGGCGUUGGCUUAUAUGUUUGAUGGAAGAAUGGAUGGAGUUGCAGUUGUGGGAACCUCUUCAGAAAGCAACUCUAAGAGUGUAAACUUAGAUGGAGCUCGAAGAAUGGCUUUAAAGAACAUUGAAGCUUUUAUUCUUGCAUUUUCUGAUCCACAAGCAUUUUCUGCUGCUGCUGCGUCAUCUGUCCCUGCAGCUUUGACUCAAGUUACAGAAUCAGCUCGUAUUCAUGAGGCAGGUCAUCUUAGGUGCAGUGGAGCUGAGAUCGGCAGAUUCGUUACAAUGUUACGUAAUUCGUCUUCUAUUCUGAAAGCAUGUGCUGCAUUUGCCCUUCUUCAGUUCACAAUCCCUGGUGGUCGUCAUGCACAACAUCAUGUCCGCCUAUUGCAGAACACUGGAG
This 543-nucleotide unclassified non-coding RNA is filed under the name Hevea brasiliensis (rubber tree). The record is from RNAcentral. Lineage: Eukaryota; Viridiplantae; Streptophyta; Magnoliopsida; Malpighiales; Euphorbiaceae.